Molecule: ribosomal RNA, 228 nt
Filed under: uncultured Lactobacillus sp.
Lineage: Bacteria; Bacillati; Bacillota; Bacilli; Lactobacillales; Lactobacillaceae
Description: partial 16S ribosomal RNA
Rfam family: Bacterial small subunit ribosomal RNA
Source: RNAcentral
GAGAUCGGGAUAACACCUGGAAACAGAUGCUAAUACCGGAUAACAACAGAUGAUGCCUAUCAACUGUUUAAAAGAUGGUUCUGCUAUCACUCUUGGAUGGACCUGCGGUGCAUUAGCUAGUUGGUAGGGUAACGGCCUACCAAGGCGAUGAUGCAUAGCCGAGUUGAGAGACUGAUCGGCCACAUUGGGACUGAGACACGGCCCAAACUCCUACGGGAGGAAGCAGCU